GACGAACGCUGGCGGCGUGCUUAACACAUGCAAGUCGAACGGUGAAGCGCCUUCCUCUUUGGUGGGUGUGGACGAGUGGCGAACGGGUGAGUAACACGCGUGUAACCUGCCCCCUUCUUCUGGAUAACCGCAUGAACUUGUGGCUAAUACGGGAUAUUCUGGGUCGGUCGCAUGUUGGGUCUGGGAUAGGUAUUGGUUCGGUUGGGGAUGUGCUCGCGUCCUAUCAGCUUGUUGGUGGGGUGAUGGCCUACCAAGGCGGUGGCGUGUAGACGGCCUGGGAGGGUGGACGGUCUGACUGGGACUGAGACAACGCCCAGACUCCUACGGGAGGCAGCAGUGGGGAAUAUGGCACAAUGGGGGAAAGUCUGAAGCAGCGACGCCGCGUGAGCGAUGGCGGCCUUCGGGUUGUGAACCUCUUUCGCUAGUGAAGCAGGCCUGCCUCGUAUGUAGGUGGGUUGACGGUAGCUGGAGAAGAAGCGCCGGCUAACUACGUG
This 494-nucleotide ribosomal RNA is filed under the name uncultured bacterium. RNAcentral's name for it is "partial 16S ribosomal RNA". It matches the Rfam family "Bacterial small subunit ribosomal RNA", at positions 28 to 507 of the family's 1533-position model. The record is from RNAcentral.